UUUUUUUUUUUUCUGAGACAAGAGGAUAAAAAUAGGCAAAUUAUAAGGACAGACUAAGUUUUUUUUUAAAAAUCUUUUAUUCCUACUGAGGUAAAACCCAUUAUGUCAACCAUUUUAAUGGGCACAAUUCAGUGGCUCUUAGUACAUUCCCAAUGUUGUAAAAGCAUCACAACUCUCUAAUUCCAGAACAUUUUCAUUAUUCCAAAAAGAAACUCCAGGUCGAUUAAGCAGUCAUUUCCUCAAACUUCCUUUUUCUCAACCCCUGGAAAACAUUAAUCCAGAUUAAUGUUGGACAUUAAUGCUGGGCAUUUCAUACAAAUGAAAUCACACAAUAAGUGGCCUUUUGUGUUGGGCUUCUUUUGCUUAAUAUAUUCAAGAUUCAUCCAUUUUGUAUCUUGUAUCAUUACUUUGUUCCUGUAGCUGAAUAAUAUUGCACUGUAUGGAUAUAACACAUUGUGUUUACUCAUUUGCCAAUUGAUUAAUGUUUAGAUUGUUUCCAAUUUUUGGCUAUUGUGAAAAUUAUGCUAUAAACAUGUACAAGUUUCUGUUUGAACUCUUAUUUUCAGUUCUCUUGAAUUCCACUCAAGUGGAAUCGCUGGGUCAUAUGGUAAUUCUAUGUCAAACUUUUAAAAGAAUUGCCAAACUGUUUUCCACAGUGGCUGGAUCAGUUUACAUUCCCACCAGCAAAUGUAGGAGGGUUCCAGUUUCUCUUCAUUCUCAGUAACACUUGUUCUUUCCAUUUUAUUAUUUUUACUAUUAUUACCUUCCUAGUGGCUGUGAAGCUGUCUUUCACUGUGGUUUUGAUUUUUGUUUCCCCAAUGACUAAUGAUGUGGCACAUCUUUUCAUGACUUGAUUGGUCAUCUAUAUAUCUGCUUUAGGAAGAUGUCUAUGCAAGUCCCUUUGCCCAUUUUUAAUUGUUUGUCUUUUGUUGUUGAGUUGUAAGAAUUCUUUAUCUAUGAAUACUAGACCCUUAUCACAUAUGAAAUUUUCAAAUACUUUAGUCAUUCUGUGGGUAGUCUUUUCUCUUUAUUGGGUAUGUCCUUUGAUACACAAGCUUUGGAUUUUGACAAAUUCCAGCUUUUUUUUUCUUCUGUCAUUUGUGCUUUUGGCAUUCAUCUAAGAAUACAUUGCCAAUCAACGAUACUUGAGAUUUACACCAAUGUUUUCUUCUAAGAGUGUUAUGGUUUUAGCUCUUACAUUUAAGGCUUUCAUCCAUUUUCAGUUCAUUUUUAUAUAUGAUAUGAAGUAAGGGUCCAAUAUAAUUCUUUUGCAUGUGGUUAUUCAGUUGUUCCAACACCAUAUGUUCAAAAGAUUAUUCUUUCCCCCGUUGAAUGGCCUUGGCACACUUAUCAAAAAUUAAUUGACUAUAGAUGUAGGAGUUUGUUUCUGGAUUCUCAGUUCAAUUCCAUUGGUCUCUAUAUCUACCAUUGCCAAUACCACACUAUUUUGAUUACUGUAGUUCUGUAUCAAGUUUUGAAAUCAAGAAGUGUGAGUCCUCCAAAUUUGUACUUCUUUUUCAAGACUGUUUUGGCUAUUUGAGGUCCCUUCCAAUUCAAUAUGAAUUCUAGAAUCAGCUUGUCCCUUUCAGCAAAAGAAAAAAAAAAAAGGAAUUGGAAUUUUGAUGGGGAUAGCAUAGAACCUAUCGAUCAAUUUGGAGAGCAUUGCCAUCUUAACAAUAUUAAGUCUUUUACUCCAUAAAUGCAGAAUAUCUUUCCAUUUAUUUAGGAUUUCUUCUACCAAUCAUUUUAUUAUUCAGCCUUUCUGCCAAGCUUUUCAGUUUAUUAUUUGCCCUGUUAUUCCUUGCUCUCGUGGCAAGCUCCAAUUCAUUUGCCUUUAAAAGGCUUUGACAAAUGCCCUCUGAGGAGUCACCUCAGCUGUGAAUUUUUCCAAUUUAGGCUAACUAAGGUUAAGACCUGUGAGGUGGUCCUUCAGGGAACCACCAGACAGGUCAGAAUAGCCACUAUUCUUUAAGAAUGAGUUCUGUGCUGCUCCCUCUGGUACCAGAAACCUGUACUAGAAAUGUGGCUGGUCUCCAACAAGCUGAGCCGGGAGUGGAGAAUGGGGAAAGGGUAAGUUAAAAUGCUACAAAGCUCCUUAUUGAGACUCAGAUUUUGUUGUUGUUAAGCAUUUACUUCAUUGCUAUAAACUGUUGGUCAGUUGCCAGAGUUCUGAUAAAGUUGAUUUUGACGGCCCUUGCCAGUGUAUUCAUCACUUUUGUAGAAGGACAAGGGUUUGGGGAUCCCUGCUCCACCAUUUUCCCCAAUACCACUCUGAGAUUUUUUGUUAGGAAUACAAAAAAACCCCAAAUUUCAGUGGCUCAAUACCACAAAGACUUAUUUCUUGCUCAUGACUCAUGCCCAUGUGCAUAGACUAGGGAUCUGUUCUACCUCGGUUUUAAGACUCGGCAAAACAGAACAGUCAGAAUCUGGAGUUGUGUCAAGAACUCUGGCUGAGGGAAGGAGGAUGUGUCAAGUCAUCCACUGACUUAAAACUUCCAUCUGGAAAAGAUCCAUUUACAUUGCAUUGGCCAAAGCUUUUCACAUGGUCAUGCCUAACUUCAAAGAGGGGCAGUGGGGAAUGCACUCCUACUGGGUAAGCAAAAGGAAAGGAAACUUUGUGAACAGCAUUAAUUGUGAAAAGAAAAUUUGAGGAGAUUCCUAUUAAAGUUAUGGUUAAGAGUAUAUUAAGUAGUCUUGAGGCUCACAGUAAAUAGUGAAGUAACCAUCUGAGUAUAGGAAGUGAGGACUACAUAGGGCUCUGAGAGUAUGUAAAACAUUUGGAAGUGUUGCUAUAUGUAGGCAAAUCAAUACAGCGGUAAUUUAAAAAUGAAAAAAGCUGUUGAGCAGUGUUGAAAGCCCAACUGAAGUUAGUUAUGUAUUUAUAAUGCAUCUAAUCAUUGUGGGAUGGUCUCUAGUAAUGCUUCAUGGCUUAAGACAAAUGAAAUAUAUUUAGCAUUAUAGGGUGACUAGCAAUAUAACGUAGCACUAAAAUAGAAGUAAGGGUCAUGCUUGAAUUUGGGUAAUUGUGCUAAUAUGAGAUGCAUUUUUUUUUUCUUCUCCUAGGCUCAUAUAACAUUUUGGACAGUUCAACCUCAUUUAUUCUACUCUGAAUAAAUCCAAAUGCAAUGGGGUGAAACCUAUGAGGGAAGACUUGCCUGUGGCUUGGCUGGAUGACCCAACCAUGAAAUGCUAUUGACAAGAUAUAAUUCUUGGCCUCCAAUAAGAAUGUUUAAAAUGUUUUUUUAAUCUUAAAAAACUCAUCUGUGACAUUUCUAUUGUUUCACCUUUUGAAGUUUCUAAAAGGUUUGGGAAAUGAAAAAGGAUGAAUAUAAUAAAUGAUUACUUGUGGAUUGAGGGGAAAAACAUAAGAGAUUUAAAACCUAGUGAUCAGGUACUCUCUCUACUUGCACUGAGGGGUAAGAAGAGACAAUUCAAUUAGAUGGAACAGAACUAACGAAUCCUUUGGAGCAGUGGAUGGGAUGGUAGAGUUACAGUUGAGUCUAGACCCAGGAGGCCCUGUGCUGGUGAGUGACAGCUCUGGAAAAAUUCUGAGAGGUUGUUAAAUGUAGAAGGAACAUACUGGCCAGAUGGUAGUAAAACCAAACCCAAAAUGUAGAGAACAUAAAUAGCUUCUUAACACCUUUCCUUCAGUGCUGUGCUUGAUGUGACCUUCAUCACAGUAUUAAGUGAGAGGAAGGUACAUAGUACGCUAGGACAGUAAUACCACCAGUCUUCUUCACUGGUUUGCAAGCCUUGGCCUUCAUCACCUUCCCUUGAGUAAAACCAAGGAUAAGACAGAGGCAAAUGAAAGAAUGACUCCCUUCAAAGGAGGCUUUUAAGAUGGCUACAAGGGAAGUUUCUAAUGAGCCAUAUCUGGUUUUAUUGUGCUUUGCUGAUAUUGCCUUUUUUUUUUUUUUUUUUUUUUACAAAUUGCAGGUUUGGGGCAACCCUACAUCUGACAUAUCUACUGGUACCAUUUUCUAACAGCAUUUUCUCAAUUCAUGUUUCUGUGCCAAAUUUUGGUAAUUCUUGUAGUAUUUCAAAAUUAUGAUUAUAUUUUUUAUGGUGAUUUGUGAUCAGUGGUGUUUGAUGUUUCUAUUAUAAUAGUUUUGUGGUGCCAAGAACCAUGCCUAUAUAAUAAGACAAACUUAAUUGAUAAAUGUUGUGUGUGUCCUGCUUGUUCCACCAACAUGCUGUUCCCCUGUCUCUCUCCCUAUUUUAGGGUCUCCUAUUCCGUAAGAAAUAACAAUAUUGAAAUUAGGCCAAUUCAUAAUCCUAUAAUGGCCUCUAAGUAUUUAAGUGAAAGGAAGAGUUGCACAUCCCUCCAUCCCUCAUUUUAAGUCAAAAGCUAGAAAUGAUUGAGCUUAGUGAGGAAGGUAUGUUGAAAGCUGAAAGGCAGAAAGCUAGACCCCUGUGCCAAACAGCCAACUUGUGAAUACAAAGGAAAAGUUCUUGAAGAAAAUUCAAAGUGCUAUUCCAGUGAACAC
This 4487-nucleotide long non-coding RNA is filed under the name Canis lupus familiaris (dog). RNAcentral's name for it is "lncRNA (ENSCAFG00845017444.1)". Lineage: Eukaryota; Metazoa; Chordata; Mammalia; Carnivora; Canidae. The record is from RNAcentral.